Molecule: ribosomal RNA, 589 nt
Filed under: Agrobacterium sp. SCAU685
Lineage: Bacteria; Pseudomonadati; Pseudomonadota; Alphaproteobacteria; Hyphomicrobiales; Rhizobiaceae
Description: bacterial SSU rRNA
Rfam family: Bacterial small subunit ribosomal RNA
Source: RNAcentral
GAAUUAAUACCGCAUACGCCCUACGGGGGAAAGAUUUAUCGGGGAAGGAUUGGCCCGCGUUGGAUUAGCUAGUUGGUGGGGUAAAGGCCUACCAAGGCGACGAUCCAUAGCUGGUCUGAGAGGAUGAUCAGCCACAUUGGGACUGAGACACGGCCCAAACUCCUACGGGAGGCAGCAGUGGGGAAUAUUGGACAAUGGGCGCAAGCCUGAUCCAGCCAUGCCGCGUGAGUGAUGAAGGCCUUAGGGUUGUAAAGCUCUUUCACCGGAGAAGAUAAUGACGGUAUCCGGAGAAGAAGCCCCGGCUAACUUCGUGCCAGCAGCCGCGGUAAUACGAAGGGGGCUAGCGUUGUUCGGAAUUACUGGGCGUAAAGCGCACGUAGGCGGAUAUUUAAGUCAGGGGUGAAAUCCCAGAGCUCAACUCUGGAACUGCCUUUGAUACUGGGUAUCUUGAGUAUGGAAGAGGUAAGUGGAAUUCCGAGUGUAGAGGUGAAAUUCGUAGAUAUUCGGAGGAACACCAGUGGCGAAGGCGGCUUACUGGUCCAUUACUGACGCUGAGGUGCGAAAGCGUGGGGAGCAAACAGGAUUAGAU